Molecule: ribosomal RNA, 406 nt
Filed under: uncultured bacterium
Lineage: Bacteria
Description: partial 16S ribosomal RNA
Rfam family: Bacterial small subunit ribosomal RNA
Source: RNAcentral
AUUGAACGCUGGCGGCAGGCCUAACACAUGCAAGUCGAACGAGUGGCGGACGGGUGAGUAAUGUCUGGGAAACUGCCUGAUGGAGGGGGAUAACUACUGGAAACGGUAGCUAAUACCGCAUACCAGCAGAUGUGCCCAGAUGGGAUUAGCUUGUUGGUGGGGUAACGGCUCACCAAGGCUACGAUCCCUAGCUGGUCUGAGAGGAUGACCAGCCACACUGGAAAUUGGACCGUGUCCAGACGCCUACGGGAGGCACCAGUGGGGAAUAUUGCACAAGGGGCGAAAGCCUGAUGCAGCCAUGCCGCGUGUAUGAAGAAGGCAUUCGGGUUGGAAAGUUCUUUCAGCGGGUAGGCGUUACCCGCAGAAGAAGCACCGGCUAACUCCGUGCCAGCAGCCGCGGUAAUUC